GAUGAACGCUGGCGGCGUGCCUAAUACAUGCAAGUCGAGCGAACGGACGAGAAGCUUGCUUCUCUGAUGUUAGCGGCGGACGGGUGAGUAACACGUGGAUAACCUACCUAUAAGACUGGGAUAACUUCGGGAAACCGGAGCUAAUACCGGAUGAUAUUUUGAACCGCAUGGUUCAAAAGUGAAAGACGGUCUUGCUGUCACUUAUAGAUGGAUCCGCGCUGCAUUAGCUAGUUGGUAAGGUAACGGCUUACCAAGGCAACGAUGCAUAGCCGACCUGAGAGGGUGAUCGGCCACACUGGAACUGAGACACGGUCCGACUCCUACGGGAGGCAGCAGUAGGGAAUCUUCCGCAAUGGGCGAAAGCCUGACGGAGCAACGCCGCGUGAGUGAUGAAGGUCUUCGGAUCGUAAAACUCUGUUAUUAGGGAAGAACAUAUGUGUAAGUAACUGUGCACAUCUUGACGGUACCUAAUCAGAAAGCCACGGCUAACUACGUG
RNAcentral lists this ribosomal RNA (496 nucleotides) under uncultured bacterium. Its description in RNAcentral is "partial 16S ribosomal RNA". It matches the Rfam family "Bacterial small subunit ribosomal RNA", at positions 28 to 507 of the family's 1533-position model. The record is from RNAcentral.